Hyla sarda is the source of this 352-nucleotide long non-coding RNA. RefSeq lists it as uncharacterized. The record is from RefSeq and is a predicted model, not a curated record. NCBI's taxonomy places the organism in Eukaryota, Metazoa, Chordata, Amphibia, Anura, Hylidae. The transcript is spliced from 3 exons.
CCUGAGACAGCUGGAUACUACUCUGAGGCUGCUCGGCUAUCCUGACUGCUGGUGGAGGAGACUUCAUGCUGGCUGGCCUCCGUUCCUGCUGUGGCAGGAAAGGAGGAAGUAAUAACCACAGAGGAGCCUGGAAUAAGAAGAUUACUGUACAUUGCAGGAACACUCAGCGAAUACCACAGAAAUGUUUGAACAUAAGUGGUAACAGAGAUACUUCAGAUUUCUUACAGGCCCUUGUCAUGGACAACUAUUCAACUUUUACUGUGUACCAGCUUUAAGAAAUCUCCCCCAUGAGUCCUUCUGGAGGGUUCAUUUGAACAUCCAUGGGAAUUUAAAAAAACAACAUAAAUUUACG